This 472-nucleotide long non-coding RNA is filed under the name Homo sapiens (human). RNAcentral's name for it is "HSALNT0182402". The record is from RNAcentral. Lineage: Eukaryota; Metazoa; Chordata; Mammalia; Primates; Hominidae.
AGAAUUACACUUGACAGAGGCAGAGGAAAAUGCCUGCAGUCUGCAGCAUAGGAGGAAAAAAAGCGUUUCUUGUCUUCUAGUGUGCAGUGCCCAUGAAGUAUAGCAUCAAGAAACUAAUGCAAAACUGCAGAGAUCUUUCCGUGAGAUAAUUGAAUAUAAAAUCAUGAUUGCUUUUUACAAAUUUGGAUUCAUCCCAAAUCCAUUGUUCUUCAAAGGCAGGAAAAGUGAUCAGAGAAAAGGUGGACGGUAACAACACUUCACCUUGAGCUGUUAGAAUACCAGCAUUUAGCAUAACUGAUAUUUGUUGCAAUUAAGCCAUGCUACGUUGAGUGCAAAUGGGCAACUACAAUGAGGACCACUGGACUUCUGAAGUUCAAGUUCUAUUCUGUCUGAAGACAAUUUCCCUGCCAGAGGUCAAACUUUAGCACACACAUGCCAACACAGAAGUCAUAGUCCUGCAUUGUAAGUGAAA